CACAGGCCGCUCCCACAAGAGUUGAUUGACAAGGCAGUUUUACCUUAGACCCGCCCUGAGAAAGCUGUCAUCAGUCCGCCAUUGUGUUGACUCUAGUGCAGGGGAAGACAAGAAUGUCUCCGAUUAAGAGAUUGAGGUGUUUUGUUGUUGGAUGUAAUAAUGAAUAUAGCAGUAAUCAUUUACUCCCGACAUCUGAGCCGCUGAAGACGCAGAGGAUUAACUUUACUUUCAUUUUUGAAGGGAAUGUGUCGAUCCCAAUCUGCCUAAAUGUGUCUAUGUUCGAGUGAAUCAUUUGUGAUCCAGCUUCAUCUACAGAAGAAGAAAGGACGUGUCGUGUGGCCAAUCAUGGUGUCCCAUACGUGGAAUUUGUGCUCUGAAUUUAACCCAUCCAAGUGCACACACACAGCACGUAGAGUACCCCAGUCUGUCUGCGCCAGUGAUCUGUUCCCGAAGUCUGCUACUCCGCCUGUGUGAGGUGUGUGCUCUGACCUGAAUUCCUAAUAUUCCUGUCAAGACAAAGAUCUCCAAUCAACUUCUCAUCGAAUGUCAACUGGCCAACUGGAUAUUAUACUCACCAUUUCCAAUCACCAUUGCUCUGCUGAUCCUAAAUAAACAUCUGUUGUCAAUCCGAUUCCCUGACUAAGUCUGCUUCCGUAACAAUAACUCCGUUACAUCUUGACUAAUGUAAGUUCUUAGUUUUGAAAACACCCAGAAAACCUUUUGAUCACCACACAUUUAUUCACAAUCCAUCAGAGUGUCUGUACUUUAAGAAAUCUUUUAAGACUUUAAGGUGAGUUCAUGGUCUUACAGGCCAACUCAU
Molecule: long non-coding RNA, 820 nt
Organism: Onychostoma macrolepis
Lineage: Eukaryota; Metazoa; Chordata; Actinopteri; Cypriniformes; Cyprinidae
Exons: 3
Source: RefSeq, a predicted model, not a curated record